AUGGCCCCGAAGCGAGGCGGCAAGGCCCCGGUGCCGGCGAAGAAGAAGGCGGCGGACAAGGUGGUGAACCCGCUGUUCGAGAAGAGGCCGAAGCAGUUCGGCAUCGGCGGGGCGCUGCCGCCCAAGAAGGACCUCCACCGGUUCGUCAAGUGGCCCAAGGUCGUCCGCAUUCAGCGCCAGCGCCGCAUCCUCAAGCAGCGCCUCAAGGUGCCCCCGGCGCUCCACCAGUUCACCCGCACCCUCGACAAGAACCUCGCCACCAACCUGUUUAAGAUGCUUCUCAAGUACCGCCCUGAGGACAAGGUGGCUAAGAAGGAGAGGCUUCUGAAGAGGGCCCAGGCUGAGGCUGAGGGGAAAACCGUUGAGGCCAAGAAGCCAAUUGUUGUGAAGUAUGGUCUUAACCAUGUCACUUACCUCAUCGAGCAGAGCAAGGCUCAGCUGGUCGUCAUCGCUCAUGAUGUUGACCCAAUUGAGCUGGUUGUGUGGCUCCCAGCCCUGUGCAGGAAGAUGGAGGUCCCAUACUGCAUUGUUAAGGGAAAGUCACGCCUUGGAUCGAUCGUUCACAAGAAGACUGCCUCAGUUCUGUGCCUUACCACUGUGAAGAACGAGGACAAGCUUGAGUUCAGCAAGAUCUUGGAGGCUAUCAAGGCUAACUUCAAUGACAAGUUCGACGAGGUCAGGAAGAAGUGGGGCGGUGGUGUCAUGGGCUCCAAGUCGCAGGCCAAGACCAAGGCCAGGGAAAGGCUCAUCGCCAAGGAGGCUGCGCAGAGGAUGAACUAA
RNAcentral lists this ribosomal RNA (780 nucleotides) under Triticum aestivum (bread wheat). RNAcentral's name for it is "partial small subunit ribosomal RNA". Lineage: Eukaryota; Viridiplantae; Streptophyta; Magnoliopsida; Poales; Poaceae. The record is from RNAcentral.